AAAGCAUUUGGGUCGUCGGUCUACUGAACAAUAUCGCCCACUCAGUGGAAGAUCUUCCCAUUGUCGU
RNAcentral lists this microRNA precursor (67 nucleotides) under Bombyx mori (domestic silkworm). Its description in RNAcentral is "mir-2774 microRNA precursor family". It matches the Rfam family "mir-2774 microRNA precursor family". The record is from Rfam by way of RNAcentral. Lineage: Eukaryota; Metazoa; Arthropoda; Insecta; Lepidoptera; Bombycidae.